RNAcentral lists this ribosomal RNA (442 nucleotides) under uncultured bacterium. Its description in RNAcentral is "partial 16S ribosomal RNA". It matches the Rfam family "Bacterial small subunit ribosomal RNA", at positions 338 to 795 of the family's 1533-position model. The record is from RNAcentral.
CCUACGGGUGGCAGCAGUGGGGGAUAUUGCACAAUGGGGGAAACCCUGAUGCAGCGACGCCGCGUGGGCGAAGAAGUAUUUCGGUAUGUAAAGCCCUAUCAGCAGGGAAGAAGAAAUGACGGUACCUGAGUAAGAAGCACCGGCUAAAUACGUGCCAGCAGCCGCGGUAAUACGUAUGGUGCAAGCGUUAUCCGGAUUUACUGGGUGUAAAGGGAGCGCAGGCGGCAGUGCAAGUCUGGAGUGAAAGCCCGGGGCCCAACCCCGGAACUGCUCUGGAAACUGUGCGGCUAGAGUACUGGAGGGGCAGGCGGAAUUCCUAGUGUAGCGGUGAAAUGCGUAGAUAUUAGGAGGAACACCAGUGGCGAAGGCGGCCUGCUGGACUGCAACUGACGUUGAGGCCCGAAAGCGUGGGGAGCAAACAGGAUUAGAUACCCGGGUAGUC